This 1358-nucleotide ribosomal RNA is filed under the name uncultured bacterium. RNAcentral's name for it is "bacterial SSU rRNA". It matches the Rfam family "Bacterial small subunit ribosomal RNA", at positions 28 to 1381 of the family's 1533-position model. The record is from RNAcentral.
GAUGAACGCUAGCUACAGGCUUAACACAUGCAAGUCGAGGGGCAGCAUUUUAGUUUGCUUGCAAACUAAAGAUGGCGACCGGCGCACGGGUGAGUAACACGUAUCCAACCUGCCGAUAACUCGGGGAUAGCCUUUCGAAAGAAAGAUUAAUAUCCGAUGGUAUAUUAAAACCGCAUGGUUUUACUAUUAAAGAAUUUCGGUUAUCGAUGGGGAUGCGUUCCAUUAGUUUGUUGACGGGGUAACGGCCCACCAAGACUACGAUGGAUAGGGGUUCUGAGAGGAAGGUCCCCCACAUUGGAACUGAGACACGGUCCAAACUCCUACGGGAGGCAGCAGUGAGGAAUAUUGGUCAAUGGACGAGAGUCUGAACCAGCCAAGUAGCGUGAAGGAUGACUGCCCUAUGGGUUGUAAACUUCUUUUAUAUGGGAAUAAAGUAUUCCACGUGUGGGAUUUUGUAUGUACCAUAUGAAUAAGGAUCGGCUAACUCCGUGCCAGCAGCCGCGGUAAUACGGAGGAUCCGAGCGUUAUCCGGAUUUAUUGGGUUUAAAGGGAGCGUAGGUGGAUUGUUAAGUCAGUUGUGAAAGUUUGCGGCUCAACCGUAAAAUUGCAGUUGAAACUGGCAGUCUUGAGUACAGUAGAGGUGGGCGGAAUUCGUGGUGUAGCGGUGAAAUGCUUAGAUAUCACGAAGAACUCCGAUUGCGAAGGCAGCUCACUAGACUGCAACUGACACUGAUGCUCGAAAGUGUGGGUAUCAAACAGGAUUAGAUACCCUGGUAGUCCACACAGUAAACGAUGAAUACUCGCUGUUUGCGAUAUACAGUAAGCGGCCAAGCGAAAGCAUUAAGUAUUCCACCUGGGGAGUACGCCGGCAACGGUGAAACUCAAAGGAAUUGGCGGGGGCCCGCACAAGCGGAGGAACAUGUGGUUUAAUUCGAUGAUACGCGAGGAACCUUACCCGGGCUUAAAUUGCAUUUGAAUAAUCUGGAAACAGGUUAGCCGCAAGGCAAAUGUGAAGGCGCUGCAUGGUUGUCGUCAGCUCGUGCCGUGAGGUGUCGGCUUAAGUGCCAUAACGAGCGCAACCCUUAUCUUUAGUUACUAACAGGUCAUGCUGAGGACUCUAGAGAGACUGCCGUCGUAAGAUGUGAGGAAGGUGGGGAUGACGUCAAAUCAGCACGGCCCUUACGUCCGGGGCUACACACGUGUUACAAUGGGGGGUACAGAAGGCAGCUACCUGGCGACAGGAUGCUAAUCCCAAAACCUCUCUCAGUUCGGAUCGAAGUCUGCAACCCGACUUCGUGAAGCUGGAUUCGCUAGUAAUCGCGCAUCAGCCAUGGCGCGGUGAAUACGUUCCCGGGCCU